CGCCCCCUGCAAACACAAACAUAGGGGGUCCUGCCUGCCCAGUGACUAAAGGUUAAACGGCCGCGGUAUCUUGACCGUGCGAAGGUAGCAUAAUCAUUUGUCUCCUAAAUAGAGACUGGUAUGAAUGGCAAGACGGAGCUAAACUGUCUCUUUUUUUAACUCUGAACUUUACCUCCCCGUGAAGAGGCGGGGAUAAAAUCGUUAGACGAGAAGACCCUGUCGAGCUUAGAGCAAAAUAUAGGACUUUAACUUAGCCUUAUUUACCCUAACCUCUAAAAUUAAGUAAAAAUAAGUCUUUAUUGGCCCCAUAAAAGCUUUGGUUGGGGCAACCGCGGAGAAAGAAAACCUUCCGCUAAUAAAUUUAUUUAGAAAAGGAGAACAACCCUACAAUCAAAAAUGAAAGUGUGAUCCACCCAGGUGAUCAAAGGAACAAGUUACCGCAGGGAUAACAGCGUUAUCUUUUCUGAGAGUUCACAUUGACGAAAAGGUUUGCGACCUCGAUGUUGGAUCGGGACAUCCUAAGGGUGCAGAAGCUUUUAAGGGUUGGUCUGUUCGACCAUUAAAGUCCUACGUGAUCUGAGUUCAGACCGGCGAAAGC
Molecule: ribosomal RNA, 598 nt
Filed under: Pseudechinus albocinctus
Lineage: Eukaryota; Metazoa; Echinodermata; Echinoidea; Temnopleuroida; Temnopleuridae
Description: partial 16S ribosomal RNA
Rfam family: Bacterial large subunit ribosomal RNA
Source: RNAcentral